CCGAGAGAGUACUCAGUUCUCAUUAGGCAUGACAUGCUGCAAUAAAGAAAACAAAUGCCCAUGCUGCCUUAUAAGAGCUGUGAACUUCAGUGG
RNAcentral lists this microRNA precursor (93 nucleotides) under Fasciola hepatica (liver fluke). RNAcentral describes it as "microRNA fhe-mir-745a precursor". Its record names the gene fhe-mir-745a. Lineage: Eukaryota; Metazoa; Platyhelminthes; Trematoda; Plagiorchiida; Fasciolidae. The record is from miRBase by way of RNAcentral.